This 322-nucleotide ribosomal RNA is filed under the name uncultured eukaryote. RNAcentral's name for it is "partial 18S ribosomal RNA". It matches the Rfam family "Eukaryotic small subunit ribosomal RNA", at positions 1470 to 1796 of the family's 1831-position model. The record is from RNAcentral.
CCCUUAGAUGUUCUGGGCCGCACGCGUGCUACACUGAGUGGAUCAGCGGGUCAGGUUGCGCGAAAGUGUUUCCUAAUCUUGAAAUCCGCUCGUGAUGGGGAUUGACGGUUGCAAUUUUCCGUCAUGAACGAGGAAUACCUUGUAAGCGCGGGUCAUCGUCCCGCGCUGAAUACGUCCCUGCCCUUUGUACACACCGCCCGUCGCUCCUACCGAUUGAGUGGUCCGGUGAGGCUUUGGGAUCUGAGCGGAAAGAGCGUUUCGCUGUUUCUGCUCGGAAAACUCAGUCGAACCUCAUCAUUUAGAGGAAGGAGAAGUCGUAACA